Molecule: ribosomal RNA, 308 nt
Filed under: uncultured soil bacterium
Lineage: Bacteria
Description: bacterial SSU rRNA
Rfam family: Bacterial small subunit ribosomal RNA
Source: RNAcentral
AGAUUGAACGCUGGCGGCAUGCCUAACACAUGCAAGUCGAACGGGAGUAGCAAUACUCUAGUGGCGGACGGGUGAGGAAUACGUAGGAAUUUGCCCUUAAGUGGGGGAUAACCCGGGGAAACCCGGAUUAAUACCGCAUGACCUCGAAAGAGCAAAGUGGGGGAUCGCAAGACCUCACGCUUUUGGAGAAGCCUACGUCGGAUUAGCUAGUUGGUGAGGUAAUGGCUCACCAAGGCGACGAUCCGUAACUGGUCUGAGAGGAUGAUCAGUCACACCGGAACUGAGACACGGUCCGACUCCGUACGGGA